CACCUAAGAUAACAUUAUCUU
RNAcentral lists this ribosomal RNA (21 nucleotides) under Terranatos dolichopterus (saberfin killie). Its description in RNAcentral is "partial 16S ribosomal RNA". Lineage: Eukaryota; Metazoa; Chordata; Actinopteri; Cyprinodontiformes; Rivulidae. The record is from RNAcentral.